RNAcentral lists this ribosomal RNA (332 nucleotides) under uncultured Bacilli bacterium. RNAcentral's name for it is "bacterial SSU rRNA". It matches the Rfam family "Bacterial small subunit ribosomal RNA", at positions 568 to 898 of the family's 1533-position model. The record is from RNAcentral. Lineage: Bacteria; Bacillati; Bacillota; Bacilli.
CGUGUAGGCGGGAGGCCAAGUCUGCUGUGAAAUCGCCCGGCUCAACUGGGCGGGGUCGGUGGAAACUGGUCACCUGGAGGACGGUAGAGGCGAGUGGAAUUCCCGGUGUAGUGGUGAAAUGCGUAGAGAUCGGGAGGAACACCAGUGGCGAAGGCGGCUCGCUGGGCCGGACCUGACGCUGAGACGCGAAGGCGUGGGGAGCGAACGGGAUUAGAUACCCCGGUAGUCCACGCAGUAAACGAUGCACACUAGGUGUGGGGGGUAUCGAGCCCCUCCGUGCCGUAGUUAACACAGUAAGUGUGCCACCUGGGGAGUACGGCCGCAAGGUUAAA